UGUCCCUAUUACUUCAAAGAGUAAAAUCCAUUCAUUUCUUCCUAGUAAUCCCAUUUUUGGUUAUUGCAGCUUGCUAAUUACUAAAGUUGUAUUCUGGUUACUGAAAAAUGAUAUGAAAUUCAAUGUCAAGUUCAUCAUAUUGAAAAAUCUUAAGUAUUGACAUUCAGAAGUUGUGUCUGACAGGUAAACAAAAUUAAGACAUGUUGCAACCUUUUACUUGCAUGCUGGUUACCAUAUAAGUCAUUUUGAUCAUGAGUACCUGAGACAGUGUGGAUAAAAUUUGAAUUUCUAUUGUACAAAGGGAGAUAAUCCAAUAAAAAUGCUGAUUUUUAAAA
Molecule: long non-coding RNA, 335 nt
Filed under: Mytilus galloprovincialis (Mediterranean mussel)
Lineage: Eukaryota; Metazoa; Mollusca; Bivalvia; Mytilida; Mytilidae
Source: RNAcentral